Molecule: non-coding RNA, 748 nt
Organism: Amborella trichopoda
Lineage: Eukaryota; Viridiplantae; Streptophyta; Magnoliopsida; Amborellales; Amborellaceae
Source: RefSeq, a predicted model, not a curated record
GGAUAUAUACAACAGAUACAAGAACUAGAUUAUAAAGGAUGAAAGGUAUUUGUAUACUAAAGAAUAGGGGAUUACUCAUAUAAGAUUUCCAUUGGCAAAGAUGAUGACAGCAUGUUGCAAAGGCAACACCUCUCAAGCUGCAAUUGUCUCCAAGUCCAUUAUGUUGCUGAGUGAGGAAGCACCUUAAGUACUUCAUGAAACCACAUCUUAAAAGGGAGCCAUGCCUCAGCAGUUGGAGCUCAUUGCAAAAGAAAUUCUUUCACCUUUGUAUAUGAUAUUCCAUCAUUUCACAGAGACAAUCAGGGGAGAGAAAAGGCAAAAGGAUAAACGAAUGAAGAAUUGUUUAGAGAUGUAUUAGUUGGAGAGUACUACAUGCACUGGUCUAGUAAAAGCAUCCGCCAAAAUAGGAAGGAUAAACAAAAUCACCUACACCGCACUUGCUUUUCCUGUGGUUUAUGUCUUCUCUUUUUUCGCCUUGUAAUUGUAGGUGUGAUAUUUUAUGUUAUUAAGCAUUGUUAAAUUAGGAGAGCUGCAUAUUCUUUUCUUUUUUAUUCUAUUUUUGUUGAAAAUAAUUGUGGAUGUCAUGGUGAAGACUCUCUCUUUCUCUCUCUCUCAUGGUUUAGGCCUCUAAGCAUUUGGCCAUCUGCUAUGGUACUCAUUUUGAAAGUCUUUUAUAUUGUGAGCUAACUUGCAAAAAAAAUGUAAUCUGUAUAUGGUAUCUAAACUUUUCUAUUUUCUCUUCAUUAAU